Molecule: long non-coding RNA, 1320 nt
Organism: Parus major (Great Tit)
Lineage: Eukaryota; Metazoa; Chordata; Aves; Passeriformes; Paridae
Exons: 3
Source: RefSeq, a predicted model, not a curated record
GCAGCUACCUUUAAAUUGCUGCCUAUAAUUAUUGAAGAAUUCCUGCAGCAUGAGAGGGGAACAGCUGGAAUUACUGGCUGGAAUUAUGUGGAAUUAUGUGGAAACUCUGGUGACCAGGAGAAAGCAGCUGCUGACAGGUACUUCUGUCUCACCCCAGCAGGCUCUGCAUUAACUCACCCCAUAAACAACACAUCCCGUGACCCCAAAUCCACCCUGUGACUCCAAAUCCAUCCAGCUCUACCAGGUUUAUUUGAUGAAGGAAAGACAGAAGGCAAAUGAUGGGAUGGUUUGGCCAUGAACAGAAUGACAGCUUUGAAAAGGAUUUUCCCAAAAUUCCACUUUUGCCUGUGAAAGCAGCUCUGAAGGGAAGUUGUUGCCUCUGAGGUGCCACUUCACAGCCUUUAAGGACAAGGAGAUGUUGAUCCUAAUCCAGAGGAAUUGAAGAUUUCCCUAGAGGCUUCCAGGCACAGGACCACGAGACAUCAACAGCUCCACUAAUGCUGGAAUCAGGAUGGAGAGAAAAGCUCCAGGAACACCCCCCUGCAGCUGGGACAGAGCAUGUUCACAGGGCAGCACCUCCCACAUCCCAGCCCUGGGACACAGGGAAAAGCAGGGACUGGGAAAAUAGAAAUGGUUGAUGGAUUUGCUGCUGAGCCAGGGAUGUGCCUGUGCUCAUUCCUGAUGCCCUGAGCUCCUCCUGAAGCAAGAGCAGCAGGAAGAGCAGGGCAGGGAGUGGCUGUGGUGCCUGGCAAAGGGGACAGCCCUGGUUCCAAACCCCAGGGUAGAGCCUCUGGCUCCAGGAGCACUGCAGGAGAUGGGAUGGUGCUGCUGGAAGAGGAUUGUGGCACCUCCUGCCUGUGGAACUCCGACCUGGGGCUGCUCCUGCCUCUCCUCCUCACCUUUAUCUCCUCAUCUGUGGGAUACAAAGGAGAGGAAAACCCAGGGAUGAGCUGUCUGCUGCUUGGUUGCACAAGGACACGGAGAAAAAAAAAGGGAGAAGAGGGUGCUGUGCUAUUUUGAGCUGCCUCCUCCUCAAUUCCUAGGGGUGGAAUUUUACCUCUGGAGUGUUGAUUGCUUUGUAGGAAGGAUUUAAAGACUACUUACACAAAAAUGAUAAUUAAAACCUAAAUUAAACCUAGGCCUAGUCAAUACUUCCCAUUUCCAUUGUUCUCAAAGUGCAAAAUAACAUUUCCAUUUUGCCAUAGAGAUUUACUGGCCUUUUUCAACCAUUUCACUAAAACAAACUCAAAAUGCUGGGUUUGAAAAUGAUAAGUCUGUAGAAAGCCCCACUGGCAAUAAGCUUCCAGCAUGAUUCCUUAA